AGAGUUUGAUCCUGGCUCAGAUUGAACGCUGGCGGCAGGCCUAACACAUGCAAGUCGAACGGUAGCACAGAGAGCUUGCUCUCGGGUGACGAGCGGCGGACGGGUGAGUAAUGUCUGGGAAACUGCCUGAUGGAGGGGGAUAACUACUGGAACGGUAGCUAAUACCGCAUAACGUCGCAAGACCAAAGUGGGGGACCUUCGGGCCUCAUGCCAUCAGAUGUGCCCAGAUGGGAUUAGCUAGUAGGUGGGGUAAUGGCUCACCUAGGCGACGAUCCCUAGCUGGUCUGAGAGGAUGACCAGCCACACUGGAACUGAGACACGGUCCAGACUCCUACGGGAGGCAGCAGUGGGGAAUAUUGCACAAUGGGCGCAAGCCUGAUGCAGCCAUGCCGCGUGUAUGAAGAAGGCCUUCGGGUUGUAAAGUACUUUCAGCGAGGAGGAAGGCAUUAAGGUUAAUAACCUUAAUGAUUGACGUUACUCGCAGAAGAAGCACCGGCUAACUCCGUGCCAGCAGCCGCGGUAAUACGGAGGGUGCAAGCGAUAAUCGGAAUUACUGGGCGUAAAGCGCACGCAGGCGGUCUGUUAAGUCAGAUGUGAAAUCCCCGGGCUCAACCUGGGAACUGCAUUUGAAACUGGCAGGCUUGAGUCCUGUAGAGGGGGGUAGAAUUC
RNAcentral lists this ribosomal RNA (669 nucleotides) under uncultured bacterium. RNAcentral describes it as "bacterial SSU rRNA". It matches the Rfam family "Bacterial small subunit ribosomal RNA", at positions 8 to 669 of the family's 1533-position model. The record is from RNAcentral.